Molecule: non-coding RNA, 54 nt
Organism: Salmo salar (Atlantic salmon)
Lineage: Eukaryota; Metazoa; Chordata; Actinopteri; Salmoniformes; Salmonidae
Source: Rfam
AGAAAUUGCUCCUGUAAGACGCUCUGGAUAAGAGCAUCUGCUAAAUAACUAAAA